RNAcentral lists this ribosomal RNA (504 nucleotides) under Perisesarma tuerkayi. RNAcentral's name for it is "partial 16S ribosomal RNA". Lineage: Eukaryota; Metazoa; Arthropoda; Malacostraca; Decapoda; Sesarmidae. The record is from RNAcentral.
CAAAAACAUGUCUAUUUGUAGAUAUAAAAAGUCUAGCCUGCUCACUGAUAUUAUUUUUAAGAGCCGCGGUAUUUCUGACUGUGCAAAGGUAGCAUAAUCGUUAGUUUUUUAAUUGAAAUCUUGUAUGAAUGGUUUGACAAAAAAAAGACUGUCUUUAAAUUAUUGAUUGAAUUUAACUUUUAAGUGAAAAGGCUUAAAUAAAUUAAAAAGACGAUAAGACCCUAUAAAGCUUUAUAUUGACUUAUUAUUUAAUAAAAUUUUUAAAUAUAAAUAUUUGGUAAUAAAUUUUAUUUUAUUGGGGUGAUAAUGGUAAAAUGAUUAAUAACUGUUAAUUUUAUUUAAACAAAAAUAAAUGGAUAAAAGGUUAAUAUUUGAUUAAAUGAUCCUAUUUAAAGAUUAAAAGUUUAAGUUACUUUAGGGAUAACAGCGUAAUUUUUUUUGAGAGUUCUUAUCGAGAAAAAAGUUUGCGACCUCGAUGUUGAAUUAAAAUAUCUAUAUAAUUGU